This 489-nucleotide ribosomal RNA is filed under the name uncultured bacterium. Its description in RNAcentral is "bacterial SSU rRNA". It matches the Rfam family "Bacterial small subunit ribosomal RNA", at positions 9 to 493 of the family's 1533-position model. The record is from RNAcentral.
GAGUUUGAUCCUGGCUCAGGAUGAACGCUGGCGGCGUGCUUAACACAUGCAAGUCGAACGGGAAUGCCACGCUGAUGCGAUUUCGGUCAAAUCAUGUGGCAUUCGAGUGGCGGACGGGUGAGUAACGCGUGGGUAACCUGCCUUACACAGGGGGAUAACACCUGGAAACAGGUGCUAAUACCGCAUAAGCGCACAGGGCCGCAUGGCCCGGUGUGAAAAACUCCGGUGGUGUAAGAUGGACCCGCGUCUGAUUAGCUUGUUGGCGGGGUAGGGGCCCACCAAGGCGACGAUCAGUAGCCGGCCUGAGAGGGUGGACGGCCACAUUGGGACUGAGACACGGCCCAAGCUCCUACGGGAGGCAGCAGUGGGGGAUAUUGGACAAUGGGGGAAACCCUGAUCCAGCGACGCCGCGUGAGUGAAGAAGUAUUUCGGUAUGUAAAGCUCUGUCAGCAGGGAAGAAAGAAAUGACGGUACCUGACCAAGAAGCCC